AGAGUGUUACAGGAAUUAGGUAGUUGGGCACAGUACAAUCUCUUUGAAGGAUCUCAUCUUUUCAGCUUGUGUGCCCAACUACUUGAUUCCUAAAAUACUCUCAGACCAUAUGAGAUUGUCCUAGCGAUGACACUGUCUGUUGUUGGAAUCUUAUUGCGGAGAUGAAGGUUUCAAUUAUUUGGUGGAGAUCCCUGAGAUGAAUUUUAGUUAAGUAGCUGUCCACUGUCAACAAUGAUAAGGUGGAGUAUGUUGGAUUUCAACACGGAUUGGGACUGUUCCUCGAGAUGAGAGAUGAGGGUUUAGCGUUUCCUUGUGAUCUGGAGAUCUUCUUCCCCUAUAAGGUUUCGUUAUUCUUCUCUGCUAAGGCUCUUCUUUGCGAUGGAUGCUAACCUCGCGUGAGGGGUAAAAGGCAAUCUUUUUUGUGUUUCAUCUGUUUGUGCAGCGACGUUUCUUGCUUCUACAUCCGGAUCAGGCAAGGUUGCUUUGACCAUUUCGAUCUCUGGUCCUGGGGUUAGCUUUGUCUGUUCAUCGGUGAAGCUCCAGUAGGCGUUGAUCCUCACUUCCUUUGUUGGCAAUAGAAUAAGCUCAAAUGCUGGUCCAAUUGGUAUACCAGCUUUAUCCUUGCCUGGAAGUAGAUCUUGUAAUCCAAAAUCUUUUCAGGUUUACAGUUUAUUUGGUGGAAAGAAGGAUAAUAAUGAGAAGGGUGAUGAUGGCCAAUCAAAGGAACGUCAAUGACAUCUUCAAUGGUACGAAGCUCGUGGAUUAGAUCCACCAAGAAACUCCAUGAAUUGAGUGUCUAUGAAGGAGAGGAUGAGUAACCUCACAGAGAGUUGAAGGAUGUCUCCAGGCCUUAGUGAGGGAUUGAAGUGACACUACUAUUCCAUGGUGCUGAUGAUAUGCAAGCUUCAAUUUUGUAUAGUACUUGAGCAGAGGUGGUCAUUUACAAUGUUAUACCAUGCCAGCAGAAUCUGAUCAAAUGUACUCAUGGUUUAUGAGAUGGUAGAAGAUUCAGAUCUCUUUGUUACUAAAAUAA
This is a long non-coding RNA of Macadamia integrifolia, 1033 nucleotides long. RefSeq lists it as uncharacterized. The record is from RefSeq and is a predicted model, not a curated record. Lineage: Eukaryota; Viridiplantae; Streptophyta; Magnoliopsida; Proteales; Proteaceae. The transcript has 4 exons.